UAAGUUUCUUAAGCCUAGGUAAAGGUGCUUUUUUGGUAACGAAUUAGUACUAAGCUUUAUCGACAAUGUGAGAAGCUUUCCUAAAUACGUGGAAACUAUCUUAUUAGGCUAGAUAGCUAAGAAUAACUUAAUGUGAAUUUCUUAAAGGCG
Molecule: non-coding RNA, 150 nt
Organism: Tuber melanosporum (Perigord truffle)
Lineage: Eukaryota; Fungi; Ascomycota; Pezizomycetes; Pezizales; Tuberaceae
Source: Rfam